UCAUGAAUUACAUUUGAGUGAGUGGCGAACUGGUGAGUAACAACGUGGGGGAACCUGCCCCAGAAGCGGGGGAUAACACCUGGAAACAGAUGCUAAUACCGCAUAACAACUUGGACCGCAUGGUCCGAGUUUGAAAGAUGGCUUCGGCUAUCACUUUUGGAUGGUCCCGCGGCGUAUUAGCUAGAUGGUGAGGUAACGGCUCACCAUGGCAAUGAUACGUAGCCGACCUGAGAGGGUAAUCGGCCACAUUGGGACUGAGACACGGCCCAAACUCCUACGGGAGGCAGCAGUAGGGAAUCUUCCACAAUGGACGAAAGUCUGAUGGAGCAACGCCGCGUGAGUGAAGAAGGGUUUCGGCUCGUAAAACUCUGUUGUUAAAGAAGAACAUAUCUGAGAGUAACUGUUCAGGUAUUGACGGUAUUUAACCAGAAAGCCACGGCUAACUACGUGCCAG
Molecule: ribosomal RNA, 454 nt
Filed under: uncultured Lactobacillus sp.
Lineage: Bacteria; Bacillati; Bacillota; Bacilli; Lactobacillales; Lactobacillaceae
Description: bacterial SSU rRNA
Rfam family: Bacterial small subunit ribosomal RNA
Source: RNAcentral